Long non-coding RNA from Mercurialis annua (annual mercury), 3103 nucleotides. RefSeq lists it as uncharacterized. The record is from RefSeq and is a predicted model, not a curated record. NCBI's taxonomy places the organism in Eukaryota, Viridiplantae, Streptophyta, Magnoliopsida, Malpighiales, Euphorbiaceae. The transcript has 2 exons.
ACGGACAUCUUGCUUGCUUCGCCGAUUGUAAACUGAAUAUCCUGCACAAGUUCGAGAAAACAACGGAUUCAAGCUAUGCAGCUGCUACAAGGUGAGAGGUGUAUGCAUCGACACACACAAACAUAGAGAAAGAGAGUGAGUUACCUGACGGAACUUUAAAGGUAGAGUGCCACCAUGCUCCUUUCCAGUUAUUUUGUGCACUAGAAUCAUUUCCUGACAGGGAAAAGGAUUUGUUUUUAUAAUUUAAGUCUUUCUUGCCUGCAUCUAGCCGCUUGGAUUUUUGACUCGCAAAAGUUGGAAUUUGACUAGACUAAAGUGCAUUCAAGCUCAAAUUUCGGUAGUUCAAGUAAAGAGACAGAAGCAUUAUUAUGAUAUGCAACUCAGAAAGAUAACCACCCAGUUAUAUAUAAGUUUUGAUAUAAAUUCAAUCACGUUUUUUAUUAUUACGGUAUUUACUUUUUAUCCUAAACAUAUAAACAAUAAAAUACCAAUUUGAGCUUUAAUGCAAGACCAGUUAGAAAUCCAACCACAAAUUUUAACGAUUAUUAAGCAUUUAUAGUGCCAUGAUGCUGCACUGAGUUCAAGCCCAAUGUCAAGUUUCAAGUAUUCAAAUUAAGUAGGUCAAGUUUGAGCACUGCACGAUGUUGACUUGACCUGACUUGAUUACAUCCUUGCUACCAUUAGGAAGAGAAAAAAGUAUUAUUAAGGAGCGGUAAAGUAAUUAAUACUGAUAAUAUAACCACAAUGAAAGUGGACUUUUAUCGGAGGAUGCGAAUAGUUAUUAAACACCCUAAAGAACUAAGAGGAAACUACAAAUGCUGGAAAACGAGCAAAAGCAGCAAGAAGAAUUAAAAAAGGUUUAGUACAAACUAAAGGUUUGAGUACAAACUAAAGGUUUGAGUAAGACCUAUUCCUAAUAAUCAAAGAGAAGAAUGAUAUUCUAAAAAAAUCUUAAAUUAACAGUGAACUUUCCGAAACAGUUUAAGCAUUCCAGGUAACAUUAGAGAAUAUUUAAUAUUAAGGAUGAAAUGAUGAAGUCAAUAUCUUUCAGAAGUGCUUAGAUUUUUUUGUCAAUAUUUGUAAAGCAUGAACUAGACAACAUCUUCCGGCAAAAAAAAAAAAAAACUAGACAAUAUCAGAGAAAGAAAGGUUUGACUUUCAAGUAGAUCUUAUGCCACCUUCAUGAUGCCCUUUAACACUUUAUUUAGUGCAUUAUCCCAUUUUUAUUUUUGUCCUUUAAAUGCAGUAACAUCCCUUUCAUGGCAUAUAACGCGUUUAUUUCAAAUUAACAAAAAAAGGUGCACUAGAAUAACUUAAUGCUAAAAAUACCUAAAGGAGCAAUUCCAUCAAGGUAUCUACAGUGUGGAUUCCAUGCAUAAAGAUCAACCAAAUGGCCAAACCUGUCCAUAAAGAGAAAAAAAAAACAAAAAAGUGACCAAAUAUGAAAGCAUCCACCAUCAUAAACAUUCCACUCUAUUUGUACUCCAUUGUACUAAUAAAUGGUCAAGGAGUUAAAACUUGUACUACCUGUCACCACCAUUUCCAUCUCUAUUGUCUAGCGGGUUUCCACCAUAAAGCCGUCCAGGUAUAGCAUUUCCAAUUGAGAAGUGCAUAAUGUCGACUUCAUGGCCUUUGCAAGUUUUUCUUGUGCAAGCAUCAGGUUCUUCCGGACAACCACCCAUCUAACCAUGAACACAUUUCUUGGAUAUAUUAAAACAUAGUAACUUUAAACCUACAGUUGCAACAACAAAAUAGCAUGGAAAACAGAGGAGCUUCUUACAUUGUGAUAGGUCGCAAGCUCGCCUAUUUGGAACAUGAGGGCUACAGACGGGCAUUUAUUAUUAGUGCUGCAGUGUAAAAAGAAGUUGAACCCAAUUAUUUACUCUCAAGAAAUAAGUCAAAUCAAAAGCAAUUUGAUAUUCAUCUUUCCGAUUCCGCAAUUCCUCAAUUAGUCUUAACGAAUUCAUUCAGUUUCAGGCAAGAGCCAGAUAUCAUCUUAACCACUAUUCUUAUUAUACUUUCUUUUAAAAAGGCCAUCUAUCUAGCUUUACGCAUUCUAAACUAACACGCCUAUGCUGACGAGUUCAAGAAGGAAGCCCCGGCUCAAUAUGUGCACUCAGGAUUUACCUCCUCGGUGCUAGCCAUGGUAAAUCAAAUGCUGAGUGAUAUAGUGGGAAGCAAACAGACAUAAACAACAUAUGAUAAAGCAAAUAGGCAUACUAUUGAUAACAAAUCAGCUUUAUUUAUUAAAGACAUGAUAAGAUAGCAAUUUCAUUUCAGACAGAAUUAUGCUCCACCACUAGCUACAGAAAUUUGAAAAUGGUAAAUAAUGGAUCAAAAGUAACAAAUUAAAGCAAGCACAAUAAAUCCUAAACAAGACAAUAUUCAAAUUUUGCUUAUUUUAAGGAAAAGGAACUUACCCUUUUGUGUAAGCAUAGGCUCCAUCAACUUGCAACAAGAAAAACACAUCUCUCCCAUCAUGCAAAGUCUAUUUACAAGAAAAAUAAAAGAAAUUAAAGAAAAACUUAAUUCUGGGGAAUGGGGAUCGACUUAUAGCUCAAAUCGUAUAAACGCUAGCCAGCAUUCUGCCAAACUCGUGGAUUCUAUUCCUCCCACUAGCGCUCUUAUCCUCAAUUAUAAAAAAGAAAACAGUUGUAUAAUCACAUGAAAAUGAUUAACUAACCUUAACUGUCAUUUUUCCACCUGGGUAUUCUUUAUCCUCAUCGGGGUCAAGGGCGGGAAGGAGAGAAAACGCAGAGCCAUCAAUGUCCUUCCAAUCAUCGGCGCGACCGUCGACGGUGAUGAGUCCCGGUCUGAACUCGGCUUGUAGUUGGAUCGUUGAGUCCGACUCGCAGCUCCACUCACCCGACUCCUGGUGUGAGCUGGCCCACCCGAUUAAAACGGAGCCCAAAACCAGUAUUACCAGGUGGAGUCUGCCGGGAACCAUUGUGAAGGAGGAGGAGAAGUUUCCUUGCUGUAGCUGUUAUUUGGUGUCGAUUUUGGUCUGCAUUACUUGGCUGAAUCUGCUAGCUUGUGGAAUAAAUUCGUGCUUGACUUUUGAUUAAUUUAAAAUAAAGACAAAGUAAAUUUUAAUUAUUUUUCA